This 463-nucleotide ribosomal RNA is filed under the name uncultured bacterium. RNAcentral's name for it is "partial 16S ribosomal RNA". It matches the Rfam family "Bacterial small subunit ribosomal RNA", at positions 28 to 507 of the family's 1533-position model. The record is from RNAcentral.
GAUGAACGCUGACAGAAUGCUUAACACAUGCGAGUCUUUGGCGAAUCUGUGCUUGCACAGGCUAGCCAAGGCGGACGGGUGAGUAACGCGUAAAGAACUUGCCCUGCAGACAGGGAUAACAGACGGAAACGACUGAUAACACCUGAUACAGUUGCCGGCACGCAUGUGCCUGGCAAUGAAAAGAGAUGCUGCAGGAGAGCUUUGCGUCCUAUUAGCUUGUUGGUGAGGUGACGGCUCACCAAGGCGAUGAUAGGUAGCCGGCCUGAGAGGGUGAACGGCCACAAGGGGACUGAGAUACGGCCCUUACUCCUACGGGAGGCAGCAGUGGGGAAUAUUGGACAAUGGGGGCAACCCUGAUCCAGCAAUUCUGUGUGCACGAAGAAGGUUUUCGGAGUGUAAAGUGCUUUCAGCAGGGAAGAAGAAAGUGACGGUACCUGCAGAAGAAGCGACGGCUAAAUACGUG